GUGGGGGAUAUUGCGCAAUGGGCGAAAGCCUGACGCAGCGACGCCGCGUGGGUGAUGAAGGCCUUCGGGUCGUAAAGCCCUGUCGAGGGGAAAGAAACGGUCUCGACCUAACACGUCGGGAUCCUGACGGUACCCCUAAAGGAAGCACCGGCUAACUCCGUGCCAGCAGCCGCGGUAAUACGGAGGGUGCGAGCGUUGUUCGGAAUCACUGGGCGUAAAGGGCGUGUAGGCGGUCCGCUAAGUCUGAUGUGAAAGCCCGGGGCUCACCCCCGGAAGGGCAUUGGAAACUGACGGACUCGAGUCCCGAAGAGGAGGGUGGAAUUCCUGGUGUAGCGGUGAAAUGCGUAGAUAUCAGGAGGAACACCGGUGGCGAAGGCGGCCCUCUGGACGGUGACUGACGCUGAGACGCGAAAGCGUGGGGAGCAAACAGGAUUAGAUACCCUAGUAGUCC
RNAcentral lists this ribosomal RNA (451 nucleotides) under uncultured bacterium. RNAcentral describes it as "bacterial SSU rRNA". It matches the Rfam family "Bacterial small subunit ribosomal RNA", at positions 354 to 796 of the family's 1533-position model. The record is from RNAcentral.